RNAcentral lists this ribosomal RNA (2903 nucleotides) under Klebsiella pasteurii. RNAcentral's name for it is "23S ribosomal RNA". It matches the Rfam family "Bacterial large subunit ribosomal RNA". Lineage: Bacteria; Pseudomonadati; Pseudomonadota; Gammaproteobacteria; Enterobacterales; Enterobacteriaceae. The record is from RNAcentral.
UUAAGCGACUAAGCGUACACGGUGGAUGCCCUGGCAGUCAGAGGCGAUGAAGGACGUGCUAAUCUGCGAAAAGCGUCGGUAAGGUGAUAUGAACCGUUACAGCCGGCGAUGUCCGAAUGGGGAAACCCAGUGCAAUUCGUUGCACUAUCGUUUGAUGAAUACAUAGUCAAACGAGGCGAACCGGGGGAACUGAAACAUCUAAGUACCCCGAGGAAAAGAAAUCAACCGAGAUUCCCCCAGUAGCGGCGAGCGAACGGGGAGCAGCCCGGAGUCUGAAUCAGCUUGUGUGUUAGUGGAAGCGUCUGGAAAGUCGCAGGGUACAGGGUGAUACUCCCGUACACUAAAACACACAGGCUGUGAACUCGAAGAGUAGGGCGGGACACGUGGUAUCCUGUCUGAAUAUGGGGGGACCAUCCUCCAAGGCUAAAUACUCCUGACUGACCGAUAGUGAACCAGUACCGUGAGGGAAAGGCGAAAAGAACCCCGGCGAGGGGAGUGAAAAAGAACCUGAAACCGUGUACGUACAAGCAGUAGGAGCCCACUUGUUGGGUGACUGCGUACCUUUUGUAUAAUGGGUCAGCGACUUAUAUUCUGUAGCAAGGUUAACCGUAUAGGGGAGCCGCAGGGAAACCGAGUCUUAACUGGGCGUUAAGUUGCAGGGUAUAGACCCGAAACCCGGUGAUCUAGCCAUGGGCAGGUUGAAGGUUGGGUAACACUAACUGGAGGACCGAACCGACUAAUGUUGAAAAAUUAGCGGAUGACUUGUGGCUGGGGGUGAAAGGCCAAUCAAACCGGGAGAUAGCUGGUUCUCCCCGAAAGCUAUUUAGGUAGCGCCUCGUGAACUCAUCUUCGGGGGUAGAGCACUGUUUCGGCUAGGGGGUCAUCCCGACUUACCAACCCGAUGCAAACUACGAAUACCGAAGAAUGUUAUCACGGGAGACACACGGCGGGUGCUAACGUCCGUCGUGAAGAGGGAAACAACCCAGACCGCCAGCUAAGGUCCCAAAGUCAUGGUUAAGUGGGAAACGAUGUGGGAAGGCCCAGACAGCCAGGAUGUUGGCUUAGAAGCAGCCAUCAUUUAAAGAAAGCGUAAUAGCUCACUGGUCGAGUCGGCCUGCGCGGAAGAUGUAACGGGGCUAAACCAUGCACCGAAGCUGCGGCAGCGACACUAUGUGUUGUUGGGUAGGGGAGCGUUCUGUAAGCCGUUGAAGGUGGCCUGUGAGGGUUGCUGGAGGUAUCAGAAGUGCGAAUGCUGACAUAAGUAACGAUAAUGCGGGUGAAAAACCCGCACGCCGGAAGACCAAGGGUUCCUGUCCAACGUUAAUCGGGGCAGGGUGAGUCGACCCCUAAGGCGAGGCCGAAAGGCGUAGUCGAUGGGAAACAGGUUAAUAUUCCUGUACUUGGUGUUACUGCGAAGGGGGGACGGAGAAGGCUAUGUUGGCCGGGCGACGGUUGUCCCGGUUUAAGCGUGUAGGUGUGUGUUCCAGGUAAAUCCGGUUCACUUUAACACUGAGGCGUGAUGACGAGGCACUACGGUGCUGAAGUGACAAAUGCCCUGCUUCCAGGAAAAGCCUCUAAGCAUCAGGUAACAUCAAAUCGUACCCCAAACCGACACAGGUGGUCAGGUAGAGAAUACCAAGGCGCUUGAGAGAACUCGGGUGAAGGAACUAGGCAAAAUGGUGCCGUAACUUCGGGAGAAGGCACGCUGAUAUGUAGGUGAAGUGGUUUACCCAUGGAGCUGAAAUCAGUCGAAGAUACCAGCUGGCUGCAACUGUUUAUUAAAAACACAGCACUGUGCAAACACGAAAGUGGACGUAUACGGUGUGACGCCUGCCCGGUGCCGGAAGGUUAAUUGAUGGGGUUAUCCGUAAGGAGAAGCUCUUGAUCGAAGCCCCGGUAAACGGCGGCCGUAACUAUAACGGUCCUAAGGUAGCGAAAUUCCUUGUCGGGUAAGUUCCGACCUGCACGAAUGGCGUAAUGAUGGCCAGGCUGUCUCCACCCGAGACUCAGUGAAAUUGAACUCGCUGUGAAGAUGCAGUGUACCCGCGGCAAGACGGAAAGACCCCGUGAACCUUUACUAUAGCUUGACACUGAACACUGGUCCUUGAUGUGUAGGAUAGGUGGGAGGCUUUGAAGUGUGGACGCCAGUCUGCAUGGAGCCAUCCUUGAAAUACCACCCUUUAAUGGCUGGUGUUCUAACGUGGGCCCGUAAUCCGGGUUGCGGACAGUGUCUGGUGGGUAGUUUGACUGGGGCGGUCUCCUCCUAAAGAGUAACGGAGGAGCACGAAGGUCAGCUAAUCCUGGUCGGACAUCAGGAGGUUAGUGCAAUGGCAUAAGCUGGCUUGACUGCGAGCGUGACGGCGCGAGCAGGUGCGAAAGCAGGUCAUAGUGAUCCGGUGGUUCUGAAUGGAAGGGCCAUCGCUCAACGGAUAAAAGGUACUCCGGGGAUAACAGGCUGAUACCGCCCAAGAGUUCAUAUCGACGGCGGUGUUUGGCACCUCGAUGUCGGCUCAUCACAUCCUGGGGCUGAAGUAGGUCCCAAGGGUAUGGCUGUUCGCCAUUUAAAGUGGUACGCGAGCUGGGUUUAGAACGUCGUGAGACAGUUCGGUCCCUAUCUGCCGUGGGCGCUGGAGAAUUGAGGGGGGCUGCUCCUAGUACGAGAGGACCGGAGUGGACGCAUCACUGGUGUUCGGGUUGUCAUGCCAAUGGCAUUGCCCGGUAGCUAAAUGCGGAAGAGAUAAGUGCUGAAAGCAUCUAAGUACGAAACUUGCCCCGAGAUGAGUUCUCCCUGACCCUUUAAGGGUCCUGAAGGAACGUUGAAGACGACGACGUUGAUAGGCCGGGUGUGUAAGCGCAGCGAUGCGUUGAGCUAACCGGUACUAAUGAACCGUGAGGCUUAACCU